Molecule: ribosomal RNA, 2132 nt
Filed under: Triticum aestivum (bread wheat)
Lineage: Eukaryota; Viridiplantae; Streptophyta; Magnoliopsida; Poales; Poaceae
Description: partial small subunit ribosomal RNA
Source: RNAcentral
CGUCCAUCCAUCCAGUCCUGAUUCAAGGCGCAGCGGAGUAACCGCGUUCAAUCCAUCCAGUCUAGAUGACUGGUGUGCGUUGCUCGAUUGGAUCCGUCGGAGGUGCGGGAUGGGACCGAGGCAAGCCGAUGCGUGCGAUCGAUCGACCGGAGGAGCGGAGCAGCCCUCGCGUGCCGGACGUCGCAAUGCGUGCGAUCCGACCUUCGCCGUGGCCUGCAGUGCGUUCAGGUGGUGGGGGGCAUGGAAUCCCAGGCGCCGACACGAGGCUGUGGCGCGAGCAUUGAAUCAUGCGCUGUCGAUUCGAGUUUCAUUUGUUGGUGAUUCCAUAAUUAAAUUGCAGUUUCUACACGCCAUUACUGGUAAUGGUUUUCUAGCUCGUUGGAGUUUGCUUGCGGUGGGCUUGCUCUUCGCUGGUUCUGCUUGAUUACAAGGUGAAGCACUACCCAGUGUUCUGUGAUACCGUUCCUUCAACCUUGCACGCCCCCACCCCUCGCAAUAGCAGGCGACACCUGGAGAUGGCGACGGCAGCAUUGCCAGCUGCACUCAUGCGCCUCUUCCCCCGUCAGACUGACUUUCGUCCUUGGUGACUCAUGGUGCGGCCUCUAUCUUUAUGAUUUUCUUUUUCCACCCGAUGAUUACAUUAUUUCCUCCCAAUCUAAAUUUUGUACAGUAAUUAUAAAUACUGGGAGGUUGUCAAUUGAUUUGACCAGAUACUGGAGAAUGGUAUCGAGUUUUUAUUCCAAAUUCUUCGGCCGAUAAUCUCUAAUGGCUUCCCAACAGGUUAAUUAGAACACUAUAGUAAAAUGCGAAAAAAAUUUGUAGCCGUACUGUUCUAGAGGAGGGGUGAAGCCUCAAUAUGGUCUGCUUCUAUCCACAAAUGAGCAAAGCUCAAUAAUCUUGCGGACAUUUCUACAUAUGUAUGUGGAUUUUCAAGACAGGUACAGGCAUUGCAUCAUUCCAAGCAUAAGGUGAGUUUCUUUCUAGAAUUCGAACAGAAUAUGAAUCAAGCUGCAAGGAACUUCACUCCAAGAGAUCUCAGAUCCAUGCCUAAAACUGAAACUUCUCAGUUCUUGACAAACUAAUAGUAUUUCACAAUGUGCUCACGUUUUUGUCGCCUUCCAUGUAGAUGCAGCCUUUCCCUUCUGGGAUGUUCAUGCGCAGCUUUUUCUAACUUACAGUAUUGAAUUUUCAUCCAGAUUAUCACCGAUGGAACCACCAGCUAAUAAAAUGGGGCAGAAAUGCGUCCUCUAUUUGCUCAUACCAUGCACACGAAUGGAUAAUGAAAUAAGUUAUUUACUCUUCAGUUACACAUAAAUCUAAAUAGUUCUCUUCUAUUUUCUCCCUACCAUGCACGAGAGAGUAGUUAUUUACUCUUCAGUUACACAUAGCAUCUAAAUAGUAGUAAUUGAUAUCCUAUAAAAACCUUAAUUUGGAUCCAUCAACUGAUAAUCAUGCAAUCAGUUAACCUCGCUGCUCACAUGCCAUCCCUCUAUUUAUAUACAUGUUUGUAGCUAAGUAGCAACUGACAUCUUAUAAAUAUCAUUAAUUUCCACUGGCCAUUAACAAUUCUGCAUCCAUUUAAACUGACUGCUACGUGCCAUCCCUCUGCUUACAUAGAACGUCUGUAGUAGAUAUUGGAACACUCAACAAUUCCUACUCGUAGGUACCACGCCUACACUCUCCUUAUGUAUUACGCUGGUGCUGUGAGGAAUCUGGCUGGAGCAAAACCAAUGCAUUUUCAAGGCAAAACAUGCACCGGCUGCUGACAUGGUGGCGGCGAGCCGACAAGCCGUCCAACUAUGGCGCCAAGCUGGAGCAAAGUGCUUAGAACUACCUUUUGUUGAGCUACCGGCAGGAAUCGACUAAUGUAACUUUUCAUUUUUUGGACCCUUUGAUCUUCGGAUCUACGCCAUGUGUUUGCUUUUCCCAUUGCUUCCUGCUUAAUAUAUGAAUGCCGGCAGCGCUGGAUCUUUCAAAAAAAAAACACUCUCCUUAUGUAUAUUUGUCUACUUUGCACUCAAACGUAGAUGAAUCAAUCUGGGGAUGAGUCUCAUCCAAGGAUGGCUUAAAGUAUAGAGCAUGCAUUAGAUGAUACGUUGAACCACGAUGAAUCUACUCACUCCUCCUCAAAG